Molecule: ribosomal RNA, 1112 nt
Filed under: Candidatus Gottesmanbacteria bacterium GW2011_GWA1_43_11
Lineage: Bacteria; Candidatus Gottesmaniibacteriota
Description: bacterial SSU rRNA
Rfam family: Bacterial small subunit ribosomal RNA
Source: RNAcentral
GCGUGAGGGAUGAAGUAUCUCGGUAUGUAAACCUCUUUUGCCAGGUCGUCGAGGCCUGGAGAAUAAGCACCUACUAACUACGUCAGGCCAGCAGUCGCGGUAAUACGUAGGGUGCAAGCGUUAUCCGGAAUUACUGGGCGUAAAGAGUCGCGUAGGCGUUUUCAUACGUCAUGUCUUAAAUAGUGAGGCCUAACCUCAUCGUUGGAUGUGAGACUAUGAGAAUUUGAAGUAGAUAGAGGUACCUGGAACUCGUGGUGGAGUAGUGAAAUGCGUUGAUAUCACGAGGAACACCAAAGGCGAAGGCAAGGUACUGGGUCUUACUUGACGCUGAGGCACGAAAGCUCGGGGAGCGAAGCAGAUUAGAGACCUGCGUAGUCCGAGCCCUAAACGCAUGGAUGCUAGAUUGUCCGCCCUAGGCGGACUGUCGUAAGCUAACGCGUUAAGCAUCCCGCCUGGGGACUACGAGCGCAAGCUUAAAACUCAAAGGAAUUGACGGGGACCCGCACAACCAGUGGAGCAUGUGGUUCAAUUCGAGACGAAGCGAAAGACCUCACCAGGGUUUGACAUGUACCUGCAUACGUCAGAAAUGACGUAGCCUUCGAGGGUGGUACAAAGCUGCUGCAUGGCUGUCGUCAGCUCGUGCCGUGGGGUGUUGGCUUAAGUGCCAGAACGAGCGCAACCCCCAUCCAAUGUUAGAUAUUCAUUGGAGACUGCCCCCUUCUCUGAGAAAACAAUACUUUUGUUUUUUGAGGGAAGGGGGAGGAAGGAGGGGACGACGUCAAGUCAGCACGGCGCUUAUGCCCUGGGCGACACACAUCCUACAAUGGCGAAUAACAACGAGAUGCAAGCACGCGAGUGCAAGCUAAUCUCUGAAAUUUCGCCUCAGUUCAGAUUGCAGUCUGCAACUCGACUGCAUGAAGUUGGAAUUGGUAGUAAUCGCGGAUCAGCAUGGUCGCGGUGAAUACGUUCUCGGGUCUUGUACACACCGCCCGUCAAGUCAACAAAGUUGGUAGUGGCUGAAGUAUUUCGCAAGAAGUCCUAAGCCAAGAUCAGCGAUGGGGACUAAGUCGACAAGGUAUCCCUAGCCGAAGCUGGGGAUGGAUCACCUCCUU